CAGAGGGUGCGAGCGUUAAUCGGAAUUACUGGGCGUAAAGCGUGCGUAGACGGUUAUUUAAGUCGGGUGUGAAAGCCCCGGGCUCAACCUGGGAAUUGCACUCGAGACUGAAUAGCUAGGGUACGGUAGAGGGAAGCGGAAUUUCCGGUGUAGCGGUGAAAUGCGUAGAUAUCGGAAGGAACAUCAGUGGCGAAAGCGGCUUCCUGGACCAGUACCGACGUUCAGGCACGAAAGCGUGGGGAGCAAACAGGAUUAGAUACCCUGGUAGUCCACGCCAUAAACGAUGAGGACUAGACGUUGGAGGGGUAAGCCUUUCAGUGUCGUAGCUAACGCGCUAAGUCCUCCGCCUGGGGAGUACGGCCGCAAGGUUG
Molecule: ribosomal RNA, 371 nt
Filed under: uncultured organism
Description: bacterial SSU rRNA
Rfam family: Bacterial small subunit ribosomal RNA
Source: RNAcentral